RNAcentral lists this ribosomal RNA (770 nucleotides) under uncultured bacterium. RNAcentral describes it as "bacterial SSU rRNA". It matches the Rfam family "Bacterial small subunit ribosomal RNA", at positions 744 to 1528 of the family's 1533-position model. The record is from RNAcentral.
CACUCAGACGCGAAAGCAUGGGUAGCGAACGGGAUUAGAAACCCCGGUAGUCCAUGCCGUAAACGAUGCACACUAGACGUUCGCAGUCAAUGGCUGUGAGUGUCGAAGCAAACGCGAUAAGUGUGCCGCCUGGGGAGUACGGUCGCAAGGCUAAAACUCAAAGGAAUUGACGGGGGCCCGCACAAGCAGCGGAGCGUGUGGUUUAAUUCGAGGAUACGCGAAGAACCUUACCUGGGUUUGACAUCAUAAUGGUAGGAUUUAGAGAUAGAUCUGACCCUUCGGGGAGUUAUGACAGGUGCUGCAUGGUUGUCGUCAGCUCGUGCCGUGAGGUGUUCGGUUAAGUCCGCAAACGAGCGCAACCCUCGGCGUUAGUUACAAGUGUCUAGCGCAACUGCCCGUGGCAAACGGGAGGAAGGUGGGGAUGACGUCAAAUCAGCAUGGCCUUUAUAUCCAGGGCUACACACACGCUACAAUGGCACAUACAAUGGGUAGCGAAGCCGUGAGGUGGAGCCAAUCUCGAAAGUGUGUCUCAGUUCGGAUUACAGGCUGCAACUCGCCUGUAUGAAGUCGGAGUUGCUAGUAACCGUGUAUCAGCACGGCACGGUGAAUACGUUCCCGGGCCUUGUACACACCGCCCGUCACGUCAUGGGAGCUGGUUACGCCUGAAGUCGGGAAGCCAACCGCAAGGAGGCUACUGCCGAAGGCAGAACUGGUAACUGGGACGAAGUCGUAACAAGGUAGCUGUAGCGGAAGCUGCGGCUGGAUCACCU